This is a long non-coding RNA of Sitophilus oryzae (rice weevil), 356 nucleotides long. RefSeq lists it as uncharacterized. The transcript has 3 exons. Lineage: Eukaryota; Metazoa; Arthropoda; Insecta; Coleoptera; Curculionidae. The record is from RefSeq and is a predicted model, not a curated record.
UACAAAUUAUAAAUUAUUGGCGCCCUGGAAAACGUAAACAAGUGUUUACUGGUGUUUAUUAAAUAACGAAUAACGUAUUAAUUAUUAAUUAUUUUCAGUACACUAAUUAAAACUUCUUUUCAUUUAUGAGUCUAUUAUUUGUGCAACAUUAAAGUGCUAUUUUUAUUUCAGAUUAAAAUAUGUCGAACAAAUUAUCUCAAAAAAGCAUCACAUCAUUUUUCAAACCUAGUACGGGCAACGAAAAAGAUCAACAAGGUAGUCCAAAUGAGAAAAAACGUUUUAGAAGUUCAAGUAGUGGUAAUUCAGAAGUUGAGAAGUAAGUAGUUUUUUUUCUGGCUAUAGAAAUUAAUGACACA